This 253-nucleotide ribosomal RNA is filed under the name uncultured bacterium. RNAcentral describes it as "partial 16S ribosomal RNA". It matches the Rfam family "Bacterial small subunit ribosomal RNA", at positions 524 to 776 of the family's 1533-position model. The record is from RNAcentral.
UACAGAGGCCCCGAGCGUUGUUCGGAUUUACUGGGCGUAAAGCGGAUGUAGGUGGUCGUGUAAGUCAGAUGUGAAAGCCCUGGGCCUAACCCGGGAAAUGCAUUUGAUACUGCGCGACUGGAGUGCAGGAGAGGAAAGUGGAAUUCCUAGUGUAGGGGUGAAAUCCGUAGAUAUUAGGAGGAAUACCGAUGGCGAAGGCAACUUUCUGGCCUGUAACUGACACUGAGAUCCGAAAGCGUGGGUAGCAAACAGG